CAAAAAGCGUGAUAGAGCUUUGCCUGCUAUCUCUUACCCAUGUCUUUUGAGUACCUUACGUUUCCUCGGUGGGUUCGCCCACCGAUUGGACAAAUUUAAACCCUUUGCAGUUGAAAUCAGCGUCUGAAAAAACUUAAUAGUUACAACUUUCAACAACGGAUCUCUUGGUUCUGGCAUCGAUGAAGAACGCAGCGAAAUGCGAUAAGUAGUGUGAAUUGCAGAAUUCAGUGAAUCAUCGAAUCUUUGAACGCACAUUGCGCCCCUUGGUAUUCCAUGGGGCAUGCCUGUUCGAGCGUCAUUUGUACCUUCAAGCUCUGCUUGGUGUUGGGUGUUUGUCUCCUGUAGACUCGCCUCAAAACAAUUGGCAGCCGGCGUAUUGAUUUCGGAGCGCAGUACAUCUCGCGCUUUGCACUCAUAACGACGACAUCCAAAAGUACAUUUUUACACUCUUGACCUCGGAUCAGGUAGGGAUACCCGCUGAACUUAAGCAUAUCAAAGGGGCGGAGGA
Molecule: ribosomal RNA, 508 nt
Filed under: Phoma sp. QTYC9
Lineage: Eukaryota; Fungi; Ascomycota; Dothideomycetes; Pleosporales; Didymellaceae
Description: eukaryotic LSU rRNA
Rfam family: 5.8S ribosomal RNA (bases 145-298)
Source: RNAcentral